UACACUUUAAAUCCUUUAACGAGGAUCUAUUGGAGGGCAAGUCUGGUGCCAGCAGCCGCGGUAAUUCCAGCUCCAAUAGCGUAUAUUAAAGUUGUUGCGGUUAAAAAGCUCGUAGUUGGAUCUCGGUUUCACUCAGGCGGUACACCUUGCGGUGUUCACUGUCUGGGUGGACGUUUCUGUUGGUUCGCUCUUGGUGCUCUUCAUCGGGUGCCAUUUGGUGGCCAGCACGUUUACUUUGAAAAAAUUGGAGUGCUCAAAGCAGGCGUUACAGCCUGAACAUUAGUGCAUGGAAUAAUGGAAUAGGAUCUCGAUUCUAUUUCGUUGGCUUUCGGAGUCGAGGUAAUGAUUAAUAGGGACAGACGGGGGCAUUCGUACUGCGACGUUAGAGGUGAAAUUCUUGGAUCGUCGCAAGACGAACUACUGCGAAAGCAUUUGCCAAGAAUGUUUUCAUUAAUCAAGAACGAAAGUUAGAGGUUCGAAGGCGAUCAGAUACCGCCCUAGUUCUAACCAUAAACGAUGCCAACCGGCGAUCCGUCGUCGUUAAUUGAAUGACUCGACGGGCAGCCUCCGGGAAACCAGAGUGUUUGGGUUCCGGGGGAAGUAUGGUUGCAGCUGAAACUUAAAGGAAUUGACGGAAGGGCACCACCAGGAGUGGAGCCUGCGGCUUAAUUUGACCCAACACGGGAAAUCUCACCAGGCCCGGACACCGGAAGGAUUGACAGAUUGAGAGCUCUUUCUUGAUUCGGUGGGUGGUGGUGCAUGGCCGUUCUUAGUUGGUGGAGCGAUUUGUCUGGUUAAUUCCGAUAACGAACGAGACUCUGGCCUACUAACUAGAAGGUCUAUCCUUUAUGGGUAGGCCUCUGCUUCUUAGAGGGACGGGCGGCGUUUAGCCGCACGAGAAUGAGCAAUAACAGGUCUGUGAUGCCCUCAGAUGUUCUGGGCUGCACGCGCGCUACACUGAAGGAAUCAGCAUGUUCUCCCCUCCCUGAAAAGGGCGGGUAACCCGUUGAAACUCCUUCGUGAUGGGGAUUGGAGAUUGUAAUUAUUCUCCAUGAACGAGGAAUUCCCAGUAGGCGCGAGUCAUCAGCUUGCGUCGAUUACGUCCCUGCCCUUUGUACACACCGCCCGUCGCUACUACCGAUCGAGUGAUUUAGUGAGGACUUCGGACUGGUCUUCAAGUUGGCUUCGGUCGGCUCGAAGCUCCGGAAAGAUGCCCAAACUUGAUCACUUAGA
This 1233-nucleotide ribosomal RNA is filed under the name metagenome. Its description in RNAcentral is "SSU rRNA". It matches the Rfam family "Eukaryotic small subunit ribosomal RNA", at positions 519 to 1777 of the family's 1831-position model. The record is from RNAcentral.